Molecule: unclassified non-coding RNA, 298 nt
Filed under: plant metagenome
Description: partial contains 5.8S ribosomal RNA, internal transcribed spacer 2, and large subunit ribosomal RNA
Rfam family: 5.8S ribosomal RNA (bases 1-105)
Source: RNAcentral
GAAAUGCGAUAAGUAAUGUGAAUUGCAGAAUUCAGUGAAUCAUCGAAUCUUUGAACGCACAUUGCGCCCCCUGGUAUUCCGGGGGGCAUGCCUGUUCGAGCGUCAUUUCACCACUCAAGCCUCGCUUGGUAUUGGGCAACGCGGUCCGCCGCGUGCCUCAAAUCGACCGGCUGGGUCUUCUGUCCCCUAAGCGUUGUGGAAACUAUUCGCUAAAGGGUGCUCGGGAGGCUACACCGUAAAACAACCCCAUUUCUAAGGUUGACCUCGGAUCAGGUAGGGAUACCCGCUGAACUUAAGC